This is a long non-coding RNA of Labeo rohita (rohu), 1345 nucleotides long. RefSeq lists it as uncharacterized. The record is from RefSeq and is a predicted model, not a curated record. Lineage: Eukaryota; Metazoa; Chordata; Actinopteri; Cypriniformes; Cyprinidae. The transcript has 3 exons.
GUGUAUGUGUGCACUAUGCAAGUGUGAGCAAUAUUUUGCCAAUCUAUGGAAAUGCAUCACUUUGCAUUCAGGUUAACUGCUGAGAGACAAUGAGGUAAACAAUAAAUCAAAUAAGGUAAUUAUUUUUUUUUGCAUAGAUGUUUUAAAGGGAUGAAAAUUCUGUCAUUAAUUACUCACACUCAUGUCGUUUCAAAUCCGCAGGACCUUUGUUCAUCUUCAAAACACGUAGAUAUUUUUGAUGAAAUCUGAUCACUUUCUGACCCUGCAUAGACAGCAACGUACUCAAGGCAAGAUAUCAACAAGCUCCACAAUCUAUCAAGGGAAAUCUGUAUUUCUGCCUCUACUAGAACACAAUUUCACCCUGUUUGAGGAUUUGAGAGUAGUGGACAGAUGGAGUCGGGGGUUUGGUCUCACAAACUGUGGAGAAGUGAGCACCUAGCAACAGCAGCAUGACCGCCUGCCUAUUACAGCCCAGCGAGUUAAUGGCAGUUCCCUGAGGCGAGAGAGAAUUCCAUCUCCCUUCUCGGCUUUGCCCUCUGGACAGCAGACCUUUGGGAAUGUGAAAAAAGCUGGAUGUUGAGAGUUUCACAUCCCUAAGUCUUUGCUCAUCUGAGUGGUCUGCUCAUUGCCUGAGGCUUUCCGUCUGAUAAAGGCCUGAAUGGAUUGCUGAUUGGUGUCGUUGCACCGUGAGCUGAACCCCACUGAAGUCCAGCCCUUCUGAUGAACCAUUGAUCAAACGAGAGGAUGUGAGGAAGGGGGGAUGAGAAAGAGGAAGGCCAUCCACCAGGAGGAGGGAGAGCUUAUACAUCAGAGAUCAGGUCUGGAUUCCAGCUUUCCCUCAAUCGACCCUAUUGAGACUCAUAGCCAAUAACAGGAAGCUAAGACUGAGAACGCUUUCUUUAUGUUUGUAUGUGCUCAUCCUUAAAACAAGAUGAAUUAAAACCACAUAAGAUAUUAAGCUUAGUUUAUUUUUCUCGCCUCAUUGGCGAGUUGUUUUUUUCUUAUUUUUAGCAUAAAUUCAACACAAGUUUGUGCUGGAAAUACUGCCAGCAGGCUAUGAGGAAUACAAUCAAGAUUCUUUCAAAACAAAUAAGCCUUAUUAGCCUAUUAUUUUUCGCUUCUCAAGUCAUUUUGUCUUGAUUUAAUGAUGUUUUAAGGACAUUUUUUACUGGAAAAUAACAAAAUGCUUAAGAAAAUGAUGCUGAUGAUGGUGAUCAAUUGUGUGCACAGAGAUUAUCUCAUGAUAAUUACUGUAUAGUUGUCUCUGCAUAUUAAGUUAGAAAAAACACAAUUAACCUUUAACUGAAUGCUUAGAGACACACUGCAGUGUCUCUAACAGUUUAGU